Non-coding RNA from Microcebus murinus (gray mouse lemur), 183 nucleotides. The record is from RefSeq and is a predicted model, not a curated record. Lineage: Eukaryota; Metazoa; Chordata; Mammalia; Primates; Cheirogaleidae.
UAGCAACAGAAAACAGACGAGGACACCAACCCAAGGAUUGCUUCCUGUCAUCCACAGAAAGGAUGUGCCGGAACACUUACCUAGAGAGGCCCAGGAAGGAGCCUGCCAGAUGUCAUUCAACUGCCAGUAAAGUGCCCCCAUGGUGUGCCCUUGCUGCUCCACUAUCUCGCUGCGGCUGCGGAG